CCUACGGGUGGCAGCAGUGAGGAAUAUUGGUCAAUGGACGAGAGUCUGAACCAGCCAAGUAGCGUGAAGGAUGACUGCCCUAUGGGUUGUAAACUGCUUUUAUAUGGGAAUAAAAUGUUCCACGUGUGGGAUUUUGUAUGUACCAUAUGAAUAAGGAUCGGCUAACUCCGUGCCAGCAGCCGCGGUAAUACGGAGGAUCCGAGCGUUAUCCGGAUUUAUUGGGUUUAAAGGGAGCGUAGGUGGAUUGUUAAGUCAGUUGUGAAAGUUUGCGGCUCAACCGUAAAAUUGCAGUUGAAACUGGCAGUCUUGAGUACAGUAGAGGUGGGCGGAAUUCGUGGUGUAGCGGUGAAAUGCUUAGAUAUCACGAAGAACUCCGAGUGCGAAGGCAGUUCACUGGACUGCAACUGACACUGAGGCUCGAAAGUGUGGGUAUCAAACAGGAUUAGAUACCCCUGUAGUC
This 460-nucleotide ribosomal RNA is filed under the name uncultured bacterium. RNAcentral describes it as "partial 16S ribosomal RNA". It matches the Rfam family "Bacterial small subunit ribosomal RNA", at positions 338 to 795 of the family's 1533-position model. The record is from RNAcentral.